Molecule: long non-coding RNA, 584 nt
Organism: Mirounga angustirostris (Northern elephant seal)
Lineage: Eukaryota; Metazoa; Chordata; Mammalia; Carnivora; Phocidae
Exons: 3
Source: RefSeq, a predicted model, not a curated record
AUUCCGGCAAUCCAAUCCCACACAGUCACACAAAAGAAACACCGUACCAGCCACAGGAGCAAUCUGCUUGCAAGGCUGCCCCCUCUGGAGCCAGGACUCAACCAAGGAGCUCCAGGACAUCCCUACUUGUAAGCAUGAGCCCUGCAAUUCCUUGAGACAUCUGGUGUCUCCCAUGCAAGAAAGAGGGAAAGAAAGAACCCUGAAGGAGGACAAGAGGAUUCAGGGUCCAGUUAAUCAUUCCUGGAAAGAAACCAGUGCCAGUCUGGGAGAAGGUAAAGCUGCUGGAAGGGGAGACUCAGGGCUCUGUCAACAAGGAAGCAAGAACGAUCCCAGAUGAAUAAAGGGAGGCACAGCAUGAAUGAACUACCUGUACAAGAACACAGAGCUAGUGAGUGUCUGGUGAGCACAGUCUGGCCCUAGAGCACACAUACACACCUUAGGGACCUGACCCCUCUCUAACUCUAACCUGUCUCUCUGUCAGCUACCUUGGGCUUUGUGGAUGAGUGACAGAACAAAAGAAAAGAGGAAGAAUAAAAAAAGGGAAAAGCUGGAGGAAAAGAAGAAAGAAUAGAGAGCAAUUUUUG